RNAcentral lists this ribosomal RNA (1537 nucleotides) under uncultured Lactobacillaceae bacterium. Its description in RNAcentral is "bacterial SSU rRNA". It matches the Rfam family "Bacterial small subunit ribosomal RNA". The record is from RNAcentral. Lineage: Bacteria; Bacillati; Bacillota; Bacilli; Lactobacillales; Lactobacillaceae.
AGAGUUUGAUCCUGGCUCAGGACGAACGCUGGCGGCGUGCCUAAUACAUGCAAGUCGAGCGAGCCGAACUAAUUGAUUACCUUCGGGUAUGAAGUUAGGGAAGCGAGCGGCGGAUGGGUGAGUAACACGUGGGUAACCUACCCUAUAGUCUGGGAUACCACUUGGAAACAGGUGCUAAUACCGGAUAAAAGGAGAGAUCACAUGAUUUCUUUUUGAAAGGCGGCGUAAGCUGUCGCUAAAGGAUGGACCCGCGGUGCAUUAGCUAGUUGGUAAGGUAACGGCUUACCAAGGCAACGAUGCAUAGCCGAGUUGAGAGACUGAUCGGCCACAUUGGGACUGAGACACGGCCCAAACUCCUACGGGAGGCAGCAGUAGGGAAUCUUCCACAAUGGACGCAAGUCUGAUGGAGCAACGCCGCGUGAGUGAAGAAGGUUUUCGGAUCGUAAAGCUCUGUUGUUGGUGAAGAAAGAUAGUGAGAGUAACUGCUCAUUAUUUGCCGGUAAUCAACCAGAAAGUCACGGCUAACUACGUGCCAGCAGCCGCGGUAAUACGUAGGUGGCAAGCGUUGUCCGAGAUUUAUUGGGCGUAAAGCGAGCGCCAGGCGGAAAGAUAAGUCAGAUGUGAAAGCCCUCGGCUUAACCCGAGGAAUAGCAUCGGAAACUGUCUUUCUUGAGUGCAGAAGGAGGAGAGUGGAACUCCAUGUGUAGCGGUGGAAAUGCGUAGAUAUAUGGGAAGAACACCAGUGGCGAAGGCGGCUCUCUGGUCUGUAACUGACGCUGAGGCUCGAAAGCAUGGGUAGCGAACAGGAUUAGAUACCCUGGUAGUCCAUGCUGUAAACGAUGAGUGCUAAGUGUUGGGAGGUUUCCGCCUCUCAGUGCUGCAGCUAACGCAUUAAGCACUCCGCCUGGGGAGUACGACCGCAAGGUUAAAACUCAAAGGAAUUGACGGGGGCCCGCACAAGCGGUGGAGCAUGUGGUUUAAUUCGAAGCAACGCGAAGAACCUUACCAGGUCUUGACAUCUAGUGCCAACCUAAGAGAUUAGGCGUUCCCUUCGGGGACACUAAGACAGGUGGUGCAUGGCUGUCGUCAGCUCGUGUCGUGAGAUGUUGGGUUAAGUCCCGCAACGAGCGCAACCCUUAUUAUUAGUUGCCAGCAUUAAGUUGGGCACUCUAAUGAGACUGCCGGUGACAAACCGGAGGAAGGUGGGGAUGACGUCAAGUCAUCAUGCCCCUUAUGACCUGGGCUACACACGUGCUACAAUGGGCAGUACAACGAGGAGCGAACUUGUGAAGGCAAGCGAAUCUCUGAAAGCUGUUCUCAGUUCGGACUGUAGGCUGCAACUCGCCUACACGAAGCUGGAAUCGCUAGUAAUCGCGGAUCAGCACGCCGCGGUGAAUACGUUCCCGGGCCUUGUACACACCGCCCGUCACACCAUGAGAGUUUGUAACACCCAAAGCCGGCCGGAUAACCUAGUUUACUAGGAGUCAGCCGUCUAAGGUGGGACAAAUGAUUAGGGUGAAGUCGUAACAAGGUAACC